RNAcentral lists this unclassified non-coding RNA (302 nucleotides) under uncultured fungus. RNAcentral's name for it is "partial contains small subunit ribosomal RNA, internal transcribed spacer 1, and 5.8S ribosomal RNA". The stretch from base 1 to 73 matches the Rfam family "Eukaryotic small subunit ribosomal RNA", at positions 1759 to 1831 of the family's 1831-position model. Lineage: Eukaryota; Fungi. The record is from RNAcentral.
GCAAACUUGGUCAUUUAGAGGAAGUAAAAGUCGUAACAAGGUCUCCGUAGGUGAACCUGCGGAGGGAUCAUUACAAGACGAGAGCCUGCAAGGACUCGGAAACCACCGCGAAACGUACCUCGUCGUCGUUGCUUCGGCGGGCGGCCCCAGGCGGGGCCGCGGCCCGGGAAGGGCGCCCGCCGGAGGAGCCCCGAACGCACCUCUUCAGUCUCCAGCGUCUCCUCUGAGUGGACCAGAAAAAAAAUUCAGUCAAAACUUUCAACAACGGAUCUCUUGGUUCUGGCAUCGAUGAAGAACGCAGC